AUUGAACGCUGGCGGCAUGCUUUACACAUGCAAGUCGAACGGCAGCGCGGGCUUCGGCCUGGCGGCGAGUGGCGAACGGGUGAGUAAUGCAUCGGAACGUGCCCAGUAGUGGGGGAUAGCCCGGCGAAAGCCGGAUUAAUACCGCAUACGACCUGAGGGUGAAAGCGGGGGACCGAAAGGCCUCGCGCUAUUGGAGCGGCCGAUGUCGGAUUAGCUAGUUGGUGGGGUAAAGGCUACCAAGGCGACGAUCCGUAGCUGGUCUGAGAGGACGACCAGCCACACUGGGACUGAGACACGGCCCAGACUCCUACGGGAGGCAGCAGUGGGGAAUUUUGGACAAUGGGGGCAACCCUGAUCCAGCCAUGCCGCGUGCGGGAAGAAGGCCUUCGGGUUGUAAACCGCUUUUGUUCGGGAAGAAAUCUUCUGGGCUAAUACCCCGGGGGGAUGACGGUACCGGAAGAAUAAGCACCGGCUAACUACGUG
RNAcentral lists this ribosomal RNA (483 nucleotides) under uncultured bacterium. RNAcentral's name for it is "partial 16S ribosomal RNA". It matches the Rfam family "Bacterial small subunit ribosomal RNA", at positions 28 to 507 of the family's 1533-position model. The record is from RNAcentral.